GUGGGGAAUAUUGGACAAUGGGCGAAAGCCUGAUCCAGCCAUGCCGCGUGUGUGAAGAAGGUCUUCGGAUUGUAAAGCACUUUAAGUUGGGAGGAAGGGCAGUAAGUUAAUACCUUGCUGUUUUGACGUUACCGACAGAAUAAGCACCGGCUAACUUCGUGCCAGCAGCCGCGGUAAUACGAAGGGUGCAAGCGUUAAUCGGAAUUACUGGGCGUAAAGCGCGCGUAGGUGGUUUUGUAAGUUGGAGGUGAAAUCCCCGGGCUCAACCUGGGAACUGCCUCCAAAACUGCAUGACUAGAGUACGGUAGAGGGUAGUGGAAUUUCCUGUGGAGCGGUGAAAUGCGUAGAGAUAGGAAGGAACACCAGUGGCGAAGGCGACUACCUGGACUGAUACUGACACUGAGGUGCGAAAGCGUGGGGAGCAAACAGGAUGAGAAACCCUGGUAGUCC
RNAcentral lists this ribosomal RNA (450 nucleotides) under uncultured bacterium. RNAcentral's name for it is "partial 16S ribosomal RNA". It matches the Rfam family "Bacterial small subunit ribosomal RNA", at positions 354 to 796 of the family's 1533-position model. The record is from RNAcentral.